Xiphophorus couchianus (Monterrey platyfish) is the source of this 1166-nucleotide long non-coding RNA. RefSeq lists it as uncharacterized. The record is from RefSeq and is a predicted model, not a curated record. The transcript has 3 exons. NCBI's taxonomy places the organism in Eukaryota, Metazoa, Chordata, Actinopteri, Cyprinodontiformes, Poeciliidae.
GAACAUUGUCUGCUUACAAAUCAAUUUAUAUAACCUUUAUGUGUACUGUUCUGUCUCUUUCCACAUACAUGUAUAUCUAUCUAUGUCUGAAGAUAGAUAGAAUUAUAUAUCAAUAUAUUGGUAUACAUGCUAGUUUAUGUUUUUGAUGUUGUGAAAAAAAGAUUAAUAUGAAAGUGGUGGUCUAAUAAUCACAUUGCCAUUAAUCUAAUGCUAUUUUGUAGGAGUAGAACUUUUAAGAUGAUGAACAGCUUUGGCUUAACAACUUAAACUGUGCAUUUCUACCUGAAAUAUAAUGUAGUUUAUGAAUUCUAUUGCUUUAUUACAUGGUUGAUUUAUUUUAAUGACAAUGGAAAGAGUCUGAAAUAAGUAUAGCAAAAAUGUCUAAUUAUUCAUAAAUGUCAUGACCUCUAUAUGACAAUCUAAUACUUUGACAAAUAUUUUGUAUUUGUAAUGAGUCCGCUGUUAAUCUUCUUUCUUUUUUCAAAAAAAUAUAUUUGCCUUUACAGUUUGCAGAGUGCAUACUGGAAAACAAGGACCUGAACUUUCCAUCAACAGCAGAAGCUGUUAAUACCAUGCGACUCAACAUUUCUUCCACACUUCUCUCAGAAUCAGACUCAGUGGAGAAUCUCUGCAGACACUGUGGCAGUGAGGACACAGAAGAUCAUAUGUGGAUCGCAUGUGACAGAUGCAACUGGUGGUACCACCAAGGCUGCGUUAAGGUCCCACAAACCGACACAGGCUACUGCUGUGCAAUGUGCUUAUAGAUUUUAUGUUUGUACCAAUCUAAUUCUUUAAUGACUGCAGUUUAGUGGAUUUUCAGUUUAAACAUGUGACAUAAUUUUCGUUGACUUAAUUGGUUUUCCAAAAUUUUUUGUUAUGAAUAUUCUUUUGUUGAAAUUAAUGAAAAAAAGUGAUUAACCUAACCCUAACUCCUAACCCUAACUAUAGAGGUGCAGUCGUAUGUGUACAGACAAUAGAGCAGGGGGCUCAGCACACAGCCCUGUGGAGAGCCAGUACUAAGGCUGAGGGCAGUGGAUGUAUGUUUUCCCACCCUAACUCUCUGCUGUCGAUUGGUCAGUAAGCUCAAAAUCCACAUGCAGGUGGAGUGAGGGAGGCCCAGGUCCCCCAAUUUGUCCACCAGUCUGUGAGGGAGGAUGGUAUUAAAA